This 440-nucleotide ribosomal RNA is filed under the name uncultured bacterium. RNAcentral describes it as "partial 16S ribosomal RNA". It matches the Rfam family "Bacterial small subunit ribosomal RNA", at positions 338 to 795 of the family's 1533-position model. The record is from RNAcentral.
CCUACGGGAGUCUGCAGUGGGGAAUAUUGCACAAUGGGGGAAACCCUGAUGCAGCGACGCCGCGUGAGUUAAGAAGUAUUUCGGUAUGUAAAGCUCUAUCAGCAGGGAAGAAAAUGACGGUAACUGAUUAAGAAGCCCCGGCUAACUCCGUUCCAGAAGCCGCGGGAAUACGUAGGGGGCAAGCGUUAUCCGGAUAUACUGGGUGUAAAGGGAGAGUAGACGGCAGCACAAGUCUGGAGUGAAAGGCCGGGGCUUAACCCCGGAACUGCUUUGGAAACUGUGCAGCUAGCGUGCAGGAGAGGUAAGUGGAAUUCCUAGUGGAGCGGUGAAAUGCGUAGAUAUUAGGAGGAACACCAGUGGCGAAGGCGGCUUACUGGACUGUAACUGACGUUGAGGCUCGAAAGCGUGGGGAGCAAACAGGAUUAGAUACCCCUGUAGUC